RNAcentral lists this long non-coding RNA (944 nucleotides) under Equus asinus (donkey). Its description in RNAcentral is "lncRNA (ENSEASG00005031641.1)". The record is from RNAcentral. Lineage: Eukaryota; Metazoa; Chordata; Mammalia; Perissodactyla; Equidae.
CCACACGCGGCUAUUAGAGCGCUUGAAAUGUGGCUGGUGUGACUGAGGAACUGAGUUUUUAAUUUCAUCUGGUUUGAGUGAUUUAAAUGUAAACAGCCACAUGUGGCUGGUGGGUUCACUCUUGGACUGUGGGACCUGGGACUCUGAACCCCUGCUUUGUCCAUCCUUGUUUCCCCACACCAAGGGGAGCGCCUGGCAGACGAUACACUGCACCGUGAGGACCUUGUCUUACUUCUCUCCUUCCUGCCCUUUGUUGGUCCUGGAGAUCCAGAAGCUUAGUCAGGUCACCCGUGGUGGACAGGCUUCAGCAGAGCUUCCAGACCAAGACGGGCUAGGAGAAAGGACCUGGCCACCCACUUCUGAGAAGAUCAGCCAUGAAAACCCUGUGAAUAGCAGUGGAGCAUUGUCUGACAGAGCACCGCAAGUCUGAACUCCAAGUGCCACAAGAACAGUGUCUUCUCAGGAUGCUCCCCAAUGCAUCUCAACGCAGGUGAACAAAAGCUGGCGCCGCCUGCUCAGCAAGUCGUCACCUGAUCCGGUCUGAACCUCAGUCAGGGCCCCAGGACACACACAGCAAGCCCGUCUCACAGAAGAAGACCAACCGAGGCUCAGAGAGCAAAGGGACUCGUCCGGGGCCCCACAGCUGUGGGAUCCCAAGCCAGGCGCUUCCGGAUGUGUUUGUACCCAUUGAAGGAGCAGCUCUCAGCCUUGACUCAAGCACGUUAGAGCCAAUUGCAGGGCUUCAGGAAAUAGGGGGUGCCUCUGGACCUCCAGAAACUCACAUUUGAUUCAUCUGGAAUGGGGGGCAUCCUAUAGGCUCCCCAGGGAAUUAUUGCGUUCAGCCAGGGAUUAAAAUCUUGAUGCUCAAAGUGGGUCCCUGGACCAGCAGCUCUCCACCAGCGGGAGGCUUGCUGGAAAUGCAGAGUCUCAGACGCCACCCCGAC